AUUGUUUUUGUCUGAAAUUUCAGGAAGAUACAACCUCUUCCUUCCUUCAGUAAACUGCUCCUGUGGAAAAACCUUGCCAGUGACCAAAAGUGAUCUGGUUGAAAGUGGUUACUGGCCAGCCACUGUCAAUUUUGAGACCUUGUACUUGGUGGACUUGUUCACCACGUAUGAGGAUCUAAAAAUCACUGCCCCAGGGAUGUUGAGACAAGCUUUUGUCAGCAUGCUCGAGUGUCGUACAAAACUCUUCGGGCGAAGUGGUAAGAUUUGUGGGGACACAAUGCAGAGGGCCUUCCUCGAAUGGGCCUAUGCCAAAUUUGAGGUUGACAAGCUGUCUCAGUGGAUGGGAACCGCAAAUUAUAUCGUUUCAAAAGCCAACCGGGACCUGAUGGGUUUUUUGAUGGAGUCUUUUUGGCCAAUGAUGCUGAGGUGUCCUCCUUUGUUGAUUACAUCCAUGGAACAACUGGACAUGUAAGCUAAAUUUAUAUUUCUUCAUGUGUAACACCACAAUUUAAAAUUUUUAUGAAUGCUUGCCAGUUUUUUCCCCAAAAUGUAAACAUUAUUUGGUUUGGAUCAAAUGCCAUAAUACCAUGAUUUACAGCUUAUUUUGUCAAAUGUAACUGUGUAAAUGUCUGUAUUUGCCCUCAUCUGUUUAAG
This is a long non-coding RNA of Cyprinus carpio (common carp), 654 nucleotides long. Lineage: Eukaryota; Metazoa; Chordata; Actinopteri; Cypriniformes; Cyprinidae. The record is from Ensembl.